Molecule: non-coding RNA, 165 nt
Filed under: Streptococcus urinalis 2285-97
Lineage: Bacteria; Bacillati; Bacillota; Bacilli; Lactobacillales; Streptococcaceae
Description: Listeria sRNA rliD
Rfam family: Listeria sRNA rliD
Source: Rfam by way of RNAcentral
CAUUUUUUUUGACAUAACUGCUGCUGUUAAGACAGUUGAAUCUCCAUAACGAACGACAGUUGCUCCAUUUGCUUGCUUAGCUACUUGACCAAUUUCGACAAUUAAUGGUUUACCAGCAAAAGUCGUUGAAAAUGUUUGUUUUGUCAUUUUUUCAUUUGAAACAAG